This 1350-nucleotide ribosomal RNA is filed under the name Effusibacillus lacus. RNAcentral describes it as "partial 23S ribosomal RNA". It matches the Rfam family "Bacterial large subunit ribosomal RNA", at positions 1581 to 2925 of the family's 2925-position model. The record is from RNAcentral. Lineage: Bacteria; Bacillati; Bacillota; Bacilli; Caryophanales; Alicyclobacillaceae.
AGUACCGAAGUCCCUGAUUUCACACUGCCAAGAAAAGCGUCUAGCGAGGAAGCCGGUGCCCGUACCGCAAACCGACACAGGUAGGCGAGGAGAGAAUCCUCAGGUGCUCGGGAGAACUCUCGUUAAGGAACUCGGCAAAAUGGCCCCGUAACUUCGGGAGAAGGGGCGCUCCGGUAGGGUGAUGAGCCCGAGGGAGCCGCAGUGAAAAGGCCCAAGCGACUGUUUAGCAAAAACACAGGUCUCUGCUAAGCCGAAAGGCGACGUAUAGGGGCUGACGCCUGCCCGGUGCUGGAAGGUUAAGGGGAGAGGUAAGUGUCUUCGGAUGCGAAGCUUUGAACCGAAGCCCCAGUAAACGGCGGCCGUAACUAUAACGGUCCUAAGGUAGCGAAAUUCCUUGUCAGGUAAGUUCUGACCCGCACGAAUGGCGUAACGACUUGGGCGCUGUCUCAACGAGAGACCCGGUGAAAUUGUAAUACCUGUGAAGAUGCAGGUUACCCGCGGCAAGACGGAAAGACCCCGUGGAGCUUGACUGCAGCUUGAUAUGGGAGAUGGGUACAUCAUGUACAGGAUAGGUGGGAGGCAGAGAAAUCAGGGCGCCAGCCUUGGUGGAGCCGACGUUGGGAUACCACCCUUGAGGUAUUGAUCUUCUAACUCGUCACCUUGAAGCAGGUGAGAGGACAGUGUCAGGCGGGCAGUUUGACUGGGGCGGUCGCCUCCCAAAGAGUAACGGAGGCGCCCAAGGGUUCCCUCAGCGCGGAUGGAAAUCGCGCAUUGAGUGCAAAGGCAUAAGGGAGCUUGACUGCGAGACGGACAGGUCGAGCAGGGACGAAAGUCGGGCUUAGUGAUCCGGCGGUGCCGAGUGGAAGGGCCGUCGCUCAACGGAUAAAAGCUACCCCGGGGAUAACAGGCUUAUCUCCCCCAAGAGUCCACAUCGACGGGGAGGUUUGGCACCUCGAUGUCGGCUCAUCGCAUCCUGGGGCUGUAGUCGGUCCCAAGGGUUGGGCUGUUCGCCCAUUAAAGCGGUACGCGAGCUGGGUUCAGAACGUCGUGAGACAGUUCGGUCCCUAUCUGCCGCGGGCGCAGGAAGUUUGAGAGGAGUUGUCCUUAGUACGAGAGGACCGGGAUGAACCGACCGCUGGUGUCUCAGUUGUGGUGCCAACCGCAUCGCUGAGUAGCCAAGUCGGGCCGGGAUAAGCGCUGAAAGCAUCUAAGCGCGAAGCCCCCCUCAAGAUCAGACUUCCCACACGGACAACGUGGUAAGAUCCCCUGAAGAAGACAGGGUGGAUAGGCUGGGUGUGUAAGCAUGGUGACAUGUUGAGCUGACCAGUACUAAUCGAUCGAGGGCUUAAU